UUUACGGAGAGUUUGAUCCUGGCUCAGGACGAACGCUGGCGGCGUGCUUAACACAUGCAAGUCGAACGGUGACGAGGGAGCUUGCUCCUUCUGAUCAGUGGCGAACGGGUGAGUAACACGUGAGUAACCUGCCCUUGACUCUGGGAUAAGCACUGGAAACGGUGUCUAAUACCGGAUACGAACUUCAGCCG
Molecule: ribosomal RNA, 191 nt
Filed under: Cryobacterium sp. TMB3-12
Lineage: Bacteria; Bacillati; Actinomycetota; Actinomycetes; Micrococcales; Microbacteriaceae
Also listed under: 2 other names
Description: partial 16S ribosomal RNA
Rfam family: Bacterial small subunit ribosomal RNA
Source: RNAcentral